ACUUGAAUAGCUUAAUUUAAAGUUUAAUAUUGAAGAUAUUAAGAUAGAUUAUUUAUCUUUUAAGUA
Molecule: transfer RNA, 66 nt
Filed under: Crompus oculatus
Lineage: Eukaryota; Metazoa; Arthropoda; Insecta; Hemiptera; Lygaeidae
Description: tRNA-Phe
Source: RNAcentral